Long non-coding RNA from Myotis myotis, 555 nucleotides. RefSeq lists it as uncharacterized. Lineage: Eukaryota; Metazoa; Chordata; Mammalia; Chiroptera; Vespertilionidae. The record is from RefSeq and is a predicted model, not a curated record. The transcript has 3 exons.
UCUCAGCGGUCCGAGGUGUUGGCUACGGGCUAGCCCGACUCCUGGCCACGGUGCGGGAGACAGCGGCCACCCGGAAGCUUUCGUCUUUCCGCGGCUCCGCUCGGGGCAGAGGAACCGGCUGGUCAUGUCAGUCGGGUCAUGGUCAGAAGAAAAAUCAAUCUCAGUGAAAUGAUUAAUUCCUCAAAAUUCUGGUAUUUUAUUUGUACCUGUUUGUCUUGAUUGUCCAAGUCACCUUUCAUAUAAUUAGAAUCCAGAAAAUAUAUCUACCACUGUACUCUCCAAAUUCAAUGGGCAAGUCAAACAUUCACCUCUGUACAAAAGGAAUAUUAACAUACAGGCACCUGCUCACGUUGGCACUGGGACAUAGGAAAUCUCAUGUUUGUUGCUCGAUUCCUUGAUGAUGGCAGAUUUUGGAUUUUGCAGGAGAAAAAAGACCUAUUUCAGCUGAAGUUAUUCAAACGAUAAACUAGUAAUGUUAUUGUGCCUUUUUUGUUGAAACUCAACAUAACUUUUUAGAAAAAAGAAAAGGAUAAGGACUAGCCUGACUGGUGUGGC